ACGGGUGAGUAAUGUCUGGGGAUCUGCCCGAUAGAGGGGGAUAACCACUGGAAACGGUGGCUAAUACCGCAUAACGUCGCAAGACCAAAGAGGGGGACCUUCGGGCCUCUCACUAUCGGAUGAACCCAGAUGGGAUUAGCUAGUAGGCGGGGUAACGGCCCACCUAGGCGACGAUCCCUAGCUGGUCUGAGAGGAUGACCAGCCACACUGGAACUGAGACACGGUCCAGACUCCUACGGGAGGCAGCAGUGGGGAAUAUUGCACAAUGGGCGCAAGCCUGAUGCAGCCAUGCCGCGUGUAUGAAGAAGGCCUUCGGGUUGUAAAGUACUUUCAGCGGGGAGGAAGGCAGUGAGGUUAAUAACCUUACUGAUUGACGUUACCCGCAGAAGAAGCACCGGCUAACUCCGUGCCAGCAGCCGCGGUAAUACGGAGGGUGCAAGCGUUAAUCGGAAUUACUGGGCGUAAAGCGCACGCAGGCGGUCUGUUAAGUCAGAUGUGAAAUCCCCGGGCUUAACCUGGGAACUGCAUUUGAAACUGGCAGGCUUGAGUCUCGUAGAGGGGGGUAGAAUUCCAGGUGUA
This 579-nucleotide ribosomal RNA is filed under the name uncultured bacterium. Its description in RNAcentral is "bacterial SSU rRNA". It matches the Rfam family "Bacterial small subunit ribosomal RNA", at positions 102 to 677 of the family's 1533-position model. The record is from RNAcentral.